Molecule: ribosomal RNA, 680 nt
Filed under: uncultured Bacilli bacterium
Lineage: Bacteria; Bacillati; Bacillota; Bacilli
Description: bacterial SSU rRNA
Rfam family: Bacterial small subunit ribosomal RNA
Source: RNAcentral
UUUUCUUUCACCGGAGCUUGCUCCACCGAAAGAAAAAGAGUGGCGAACGGGUGAGUAACACGUGGGUAACCUGCCCAUCAGAAGGGGAUAACACUUGGAAACAGGUGCUAAUACCGUAUAACACUAUUUUCCGCAUGGAAGAAAGUUGAAAGGCGCUUUUGCGUCACUGAUGGAUGGACCCGCGGUGCAUUAGCUAGUUGGUGAGGUAACGGCUCACCAAGGCCACGAUGCAUAGCCGACCUGAGAGGGUGAUCGGCCACACUGGGACUGAGACACGGCCCAGACUCCUACGGGAGGCAGCAGUAGGGAAUCUUCGGCAAUGGACGAAAGUCUGACCGAGCAACGCCGCGUGAGUGAAGAAGGUUUUCGGAUCGUAAAACUCUGUUGUUAGAGAAGAACAAGGAUGAGAGUAGAACGUUCAUCCCUUGACGGUAUCUAACCAGAAAGCCACGGCUAACUACGUGCCAGCAGCCGCGGUAAUACGUAGGUGGCAAGCGUUGUCCGGAUUUAUUGGGCGUAAAGCGAGCGCAGGCGGUUUCUUAAGUCUGAUGUGAAAGCCCCCGGCUCAACCGGGGAGGGUCAUUGGAAACUGGGAGACUUGAGUGCAGAAGAGGAGAGUGGAAUUCCAUGUGUAGCGGUGAAAUGCGUAGAUAUAUGGAGGAACACCAGUGGCGAAGGCG